AGCUUACUGGGCCACAACUGACGCUGAGGCACGAAAGCGUGGGGAGCGAACAGGAUUAGAUACCCUGGUAGUCCACGCCGUAAACGAUGAUCACUCGCUGUUGGCGAUACACAGUCAGCGGCUAAGCAAAAGCAUUAAGUGAUCCACCUGGGGAGUACGGCCGCAAGGCUGAAACUCAAAGGAAUUGACGGGGGCCCGCACAAGCGGAGGAACAUGUGGUUUAAUUCGAUGAUACGCGAGGAACCUUACCUGGGCUUAAAUGUUGAGUGCAUGAGGUAGAAAUACUUCUUCCCUUCGGGGCUCUCAGCAAGGUGCUGCAUGGUUGUCGUCAGCUCGUGCCGUGAGGUGUCGGGUUAAGUCCCAUAACGAGCGCAACCCUUAUCGUUAGUUGCCAGCGGGUAAUGCCGGGAACUCUAACGAAACUGCCGGUGUAAACCGAGAGGAAGGUGGGGAUGACGUCAAAUCAGCACGGCCCUUAUGUCCAGGGCCACACACGUGUUACAAUGGCCGGUACAGAGGGCAGCUACCUGGAGACAGGAUGCGAAUCUCCAAAGCCGGUCUCAGUUCGGAUCGGAGUCUGCAACUCGACUCCGUGAAGCUGGAUUCGCUAGUAAUCGCGCAUCAGCCAUGGCGCGGUGAAUACGUUCCCGGGCCUUGUACACACCGCCCGUCAAGCCAUGGAAGUUGGGGGUACCUGAAGUCCGUAACCGCAAGGAGCGGCCUAGGGUAAAACCAGUGACUGGGGCUAAG
Molecule: ribosomal RNA, 750 nt
Filed under: uncultured bacterium
Lineage: Bacteria
Description: bacterial SSU rRNA
Rfam family: Bacterial small subunit ribosomal RNA
Source: RNAcentral